AACGAACGCUGGCGGCAGGCCUAACACAUGCAAGUCGAGCGAGGACUUCGGUCCUAGCGGCGGACGGGGGGGGAACGCGUGGGAACGUGCCCUUUGCUUCGGAAUAGCCCUGGGAAACUGGGAGUAAUACCGGAUGAGCCCUUUGGGGGAAAGAUUUAUCGGCGAAGGAUCGGCCCGCGUUGGAUUAGGUAGUUGGUGGGGUAAUGGCCUACCAAGCCGACGAUCCAUAGCUGGUUUGAGAGGAUGAUCAGCCACACUGGGACUGAGACACGGCCCAGACUCCUACGGGAGGCAGCAGUGGGGAAUCUUAGACGAUGGGGGAAACCCUGAUCUAGCCAUGCCGCGUGAGCGAUGAAGGCCUUAGGGUUGUAAAGCUCUUUCAGCUGGGAAGAUAAUGACGGUACCAGCAGAAGAAGCCCCGGCUAACUCCGUG
Molecule: ribosomal RNA, 433 nt
Filed under: uncultured bacterium
Lineage: Bacteria
Description: partial 16S ribosomal RNA
Rfam family: Bacterial small subunit ribosomal RNA
Source: RNAcentral